This 73-nucleotide transfer RNA is filed under the name Felis catus (domestic cat). It matches the Rfam family "tRNA". Rfam says of the family: Transfer RNA (tRNA) molecules are approximately 80 nucleotides in length. Their secondary structure includes four short double-helical elements and three loops (D, anti-codon, and T loops). Further hydrogen bonds mediate the characteristic L-shaped molecular structure. tRNAs have two regions of fundamental functional importance: the anti-codon, which is responsible for specific mRNA codon recognition, and the 3' end, to which the tRNAs corresponding amino acid is attached (by aminoacyl-tRNA synthetases). tRNAs cope with the degeneracy of the genetic code in two manners: having more than one tRNA (with a specific anti-codon) for a particular amino acid; and 'wobble' base-pairing, i.e. permitting non-standard base-pairing at the 3rd anti-codon position. Lineage: Eukaryota; Metazoa; Chordata; Mammalia; Carnivora; Felidae. The record is from Rfam by way of RNAcentral. RNAcentral also lists the same sequence under 2 other names.
AUCUGACUGGCUCAGUCAGUAGAGCAUUUGACUCUUGAUCUUGGGGUCAUGAGUUCGAGCCCCAUGUUGGGUA